Molecule: long non-coding RNA, 1012 nt
Filed under: Gossypium barbadense (sea-island cotton)
Lineage: Eukaryota; Viridiplantae; Streptophyta; Magnoliopsida; Malvales; Malvaceae
Description: long non-coding RNA (GBAR_LNC022695)
Source: RNAcentral
AAAGUGGUCGAGUAGCCGAUUUAAUAAUUGACGACAUCCAAGGUAAGUUUAUAAGCAAUUAGAUGUUAAAAUUUCUGAAUAAAUGUUAGUUAUAUAUGCUGAAAUGGAAAUAUGAAAAAAUAUUUAGUUCGGAAAGUAGAAAUAGACGUGAAUGUUGUUUAUCGAUAUUUAGCACUAAGUGUGCGAGUAUGGAAUAGCUACGGCUAUAUGAACGGCACUAAGUGUACAAAAUUAAAAUGAUGAUGUUGAAUAAUAGGCACUAAGUGUGCGAAAUUAAAAUGAUGAUGUUGAAUAACGAGCACUAAGUGUGCGAUACCGAGAGCAAUUUGGUUAGAUGAGAAAGAGGACUAAUUGUGCAACUUCAUUAUGGCCUCGAUCAAUUAUUUAGUACAUGAUAGUACAAGUAUGCAAUGGUUGAAUAAUACAUGAUAUGAAGGUAAGUUGAUUACUUCAAUUGUGAUAAGAAAAUUUUAUAUGAGGUAAAUGAAAGUAUAUAAGUAUAUGAAAGUCUAUAUUCGGCCGAAAGGGUAAGUAUAUGUGAUAUUGUAAUUGUGAAUUAUAUGCAUCUAUAUAUGAUUAAGUACAUUUGGUAAAGAGUGGGUAUAUGAUUUGAAAGUUAAAAAUAAGUAUGUUUUUAUUUAUAAGUAUAUUCGGCCAAGUUGAAAUUGGUUCAUAGUUACAUAAUUGAUAUUUAAAUUUUGCAAGCUCGAAUAUGUACAUAUGAAUAUGUUUGCAUUAUUCGGUUUUGUUAUUGAAUUAUUAACGUCAUUAAAUUGUUUAAUUGCUUAUGACUUACUAAGCUGUGAUAGCUUAUUGUGUAUAUGUGUUUUCCUCAGUUUUAUAGAUUUUGGAAGUUAAUUACGGACUCGGGGAUCGUCAGCGAAGUCAAUCACACUAUCGUUCGUUUAUCGGUAUCUAUAAAAGUUAAACUUUUGAACAUAUGGCAUGUAUAGGCUAGUACUUGUUUUGGUUGAAUUUUGAAACAUGGUUAGUAUAUGUAAUUUGAUUAAUG